CUGAGGGUCUUGAUGUUCUUGGACCAAGUUGAGAGCUAGGAGGUCUAUCUGCGGAGGGGUCAGGCCAUCCCGUGGUUGCUCCCAGCCUCUUCCAGGUCCCCUCCGGGAUGUCUAGCUCUGUUCCUGGCGACUCCUCCAGGGCUCCGCGUUCAGAAGCAGCGGUCGUGCAGAUUGGCUUGAGUCUGAGGUGUCCAGGGCUCCUGGGCCAGAUCCUGGUAAAUGGAGUGGCUCUGCUGACCUUCCCCAAAGAGAAGCCAGAGUGUACCCCCUCCUGGCAACUCUGGGUAGCAGCUGGAUCUGAGCAGUCAAGACCUUGGUCUGAGGAUAACCACCAAGCAAGUAGCUUAGUAUGAGGGUCAUGGGAGAGCUAUUGGUUUGUGGUUUGCUGUUCUGGGAACACCUGAGCUGGGGCCACCUGAAUCCUUCAGCUGCUCAGCCUCGCCUUCUAUGUAUUGGGUGCUUCUAGAGGUGCUGUCUCCUACUACCCAGCACAGUCCCAACCUUUCCUUUAUCCCUAUCGACAAAGGAUGUAUAUCCUAGAGGGCAGAGGCAUUGUGCCUGAGACUUGUGGAACACACACCCCUCCCACACUGAUGGCACAGCCAGGUCAUCAAUCCUGGGGCCUCAGGAAGGGGCCUAGCUUGACCAAGCUGCAAAGCCAAGAUGGUCUCCAUGUGUCUGAGCUCUGAAUCAUGUGUCCCAGCUCAGAACUCUGAGAAAUGCAAGGCCAAGAUCCUGGGCAUCCCACCCACCCCACCACCCUGUGGAGGAAGGAGCCAGC
Heterocephalus glaber (naked mole-rat) is the source of this 781-nucleotide non-coding RNA. NCBI's taxonomy places the organism in Eukaryota, Metazoa, Chordata, Mammalia, Rodentia, Bathyergidae. The record is from RefSeq and is a predicted model, not a curated record.